UUUCCGUAGGUGAACCUGCGGAAGGAUCAUUAAAAAAUGUGGUACCAAUUAUUGGUACUAAUUAAUCAUCCUACCCUUUGUGAAUUUGUUUGUAUGAAUUUUUUUAAAUGGGUCUUUCCCUAAGUUGGAUUGUUAGUAAAAUACAAAAAAGACUUAGGGGAAUGACUUUUUUAAAAGACUUUUUUUUUAAUUAGAACUUUUUGUAUAUUCAUUUGUCUAAAAUUUAUUUUUAUAAUAUAAAAACAACUUUUGACAAUGGAUCUCUUGGUUCUCGCAACGAUGAAGAACGCAGCAAAAUGCGAUAAGUAGUGUGAAUUGCAGAAUACGUGAAUCAUCGAAUCUUCGAACGCAUAUUGCACUUUUUUAGUUUACUAAAAAAGUAUGUCUGUUUGAAUAUCAGUAAAAUAUUCUCACAAACAUAUAUUGUUUGUGGUUAUGAGUGUUUUACAACGAUAAACAAGUUGUUUCACUUUAAAUUCUUUUUAAUUGAAUUUUUACCAAUUCAUAAAUUAAAAUUGGAUAAAAUUUUCCUUUAACGAGGAAUAACCUAAACAAUUUUAAAUUUUAUGGAUUAAUAAACAUUCAUCAAAGGAAUCUAAUUAUACAUAAAUAACUUGAUCUCAAAUCAGAUAAGAGUACCCGCUGAACUUAAGCAUAUCAAUAAGCGGAGGAAAAGAAACUAACAAGGAUUCCCUUAGUAACGGCGAGUGAAGCGGGAAGAGCUCAAAUUUGAAAUCUUCAAGGUUUGACCUUGACGAAUUGUAGUUUAUAGAAGUGUUUUCUGUUGGAGUUUUGGUAAAAGUUCUUUGGAAUAGGACAUCAUAGAGGGUGAGAAUCCCGUAUUUGACCAUGACUUUCCAGCUGUGUGAUACACUUUCAAAGAGUCGGAUUGUUUGGGAAUGCAGUCCAAAAUGGGUGGUAAAUUUCAUCUAAAGCUAAAUAUUGGCGAGAGACCGAUAGCGAACAAGUACCGUGAGGGAAAGAUGAAAAGAACUUGAAAAGAGAGUUAAACAGUACGUGAAAUUGUCAAAAGGGAAGCGUUUGACACCAGUGUUGUUUUCUCGAAAAUCAAUUUAAUGAGUUCUUGUUUUUAAGUUAUUGUGACUUUAUCAGCGCAUUUCUUAUUUUACUUGACUCAUUGAUGCACUUUUCGUUUAACAAGUCAACAUCAAUUUCUUUGGUGGUAAAAAGUUUAAAGGAAGGUGGCUUGGACUUCGGUUCAAGUGUUUAUAGCCUUUUUUCUAUGCCAUCGGAGAGAUUGAGGUCUGCAGCGUAGAUCCUUCGGGGUUAGAUACCUUUGUGCUAAGUUAUAGUUUUUUAUAGACAACUUGUUGACUAUAAUUAACCCUGUAAUUUACUCGCUUAGGCUAUUUUACCUACGCUUAGGAUGUUGAG
RNAcentral lists this unclassified non-coding RNA (1395 nucleotides) under uncultured Neocallimastigales. RNAcentral's name for it is "partial contains small subunit ribosomal RNA, internal transcribed spacer 1, 5.8S ribosomal RNA, internal transcribed spacer 2, and large subunit ribosomal RNA". The stretch from base 616 to 1395 matches the Rfam family "Eukaryotic large subunit ribosomal RNA", at positions 1 to 630 of the family's 3401-position model. Lineage: Eukaryota; Fungi; Neocallimastigomycota; Neocallimastigomycetes; Neocallimastigales. The record is from RNAcentral.